Mesocricetus auratus (golden hamster) is the source of this 270-nucleotide long non-coding RNA. RefSeq lists it as uncharacterized. The record is from RefSeq and is a predicted model, not a curated record. NCBI's taxonomy places the organism in Eukaryota, Metazoa, Chordata, Mammalia, Rodentia, Cricetidae. The transcript has 2 exons.
AAAGAGAGAAAAGAAGAAAAGGGAUUGGUGGCUGAUUUUCUCUUUCCUUCCUUCCUUUACAUUGGGGAGCUGCGCACUUGUCACGAAUGGAAGUCAUAGGACAACUUGGAGCUGGUUCUCUCUCUCUCUCUUCAUCAAAACAUGUAAUCGCUGGUAACUGAAACCGUGGGAAAUGAAAACAGAGAAGAAAUGGGGCUACCGCAUCAUCUCUAGCAGCAUUAAAGAAUAAAAAAAUAAAUAAAUAAACAAAACUGGUGAUGGCAAUCAAAA